Molecule: ribosomal RNA, 274 nt
Filed under: uncultured bacterium
Lineage: Bacteria
Description: partial 16S ribosomal RNA
Rfam family: Bacterial small subunit ribosomal RNA
Source: RNAcentral
AGACGGGGGGUGCUAGCGUUGUUCGGAAUUACUGGGCGUAAAGGGCGCGUAGGCGGCUCUGCGAGUCGGGCGUGAAAUCCCGGGGCUCAACCCCGGAACGGCGCUCGAUACUGCGGGGCUGGAGACCGGAAGAGGAGGGUGGAAUUCCCAGUGUAGGGGUGAAAUUCGUAGAUAUUGGGAGGAACACCGGUGGCGAAAGCGGCUCUCUGGUCCGGUUCUGACGCUGAGGCGCGAAAGCGUGGGGAGCAAACAGGAUUAGAAACCCCAGUAGUCC